Molecule: ribosomal RNA, 597 nt
Filed under: Collozoum pelagicum
Lineage: Eukaryota; Polycystinea; Collodaria; Sphaerozoidae
Description: eukaryotic LSU rRNA
Rfam family: Eukaryotic large subunit ribosomal RNA
Source: RNAcentral
AAUGAAAGGAAAGUAGUCCAAUCCAUAAAUCUAUCAUAAAUGGAUUCUAACUUGUAGUUUUGUUAGCUGGAUGGCCCUUGAGUUUAACAAUCUCAAUCAAAUAUGAGAUCCAAGAGGGUUAUUUGCCCAUAUGUUGAUCUGCAAGGAGUUACUUUCAACUAUGUCUUAGAGUACCGCUCUUUGGUAAUAGAGCUCAAAGCUUGUGGUGAUAUUCAUAAAAGACUUAUCAUUGGUGAGAGACCUUUAGCGUACAAGUACCGUGAGGGAAAGAUGAAAAGAACUUUGGAGAGGGAGUUAAACAGUAUGCGAACAUGUUGGUAGAAAGCGGAUUACUUUAAUGAACAUUUCUUUGAGACAAUAAUAUAUAAUUCAUACACUAAUUUUAGUUUAUAAAUUAUAACUUCAGCUACUCAAAGUUAGGUUUUUAUGCUUUUAUUUAUGCUGAUCCGACCCGUCUGGAAACACGGACCAAGGAGUCUAGUAUUGGUGCAAGUAUUUGAAAAAUUAAAAUUCCUUCACACAGGUAACUUAGAUCGUGUGCAUCGUGUCAUGAUGAUAGUAUCGCGGGCAGUGUUUUUACCUAGCAAGAGCAUGUAU